Molecule: long non-coding RNA, 351 nt
Organism: Solanum pennellii
Lineage: Eukaryota; Viridiplantae; Streptophyta; Magnoliopsida; Solanales; Solanaceae
Exons: 2
Source: RefSeq, a predicted model, not a curated record
AAGUUAAGAAUUUGUAGUUAUUACAAUUAAGGCUUCGCUACAGCCGUUAAGACAUCAUGAAUGAGAUUGUGAAGGAUGCAUUUGAAUUAUGUGAACCUGCUUUUCAGUGUAAGAGUAAUGACAUGAGUAAGAGGAAAAUUAAGGGAGAGAGUAAGGGAAAGAGAACGGAAACAAGCUUAUCUUCCCUGAUCCAGUCACUUGAACUAUUGAUUGUGAGGCUUUACAUUAUUCUUGAUUUAACUGUAUACAUUGAUUUAACUAUUUAGUUGAGUUAAUGUACUUUCUUGCAGUGAAUCCUUCAUACAACUACUGGUGAUCAUUUCAUUUAUAAGGCAAAUCUCGUGUUAGAUA